GGGAAGAAGCUGGCCUUUCGGGGUUGGUGACGGUACUGCAGAAGAAGCGCCGGCUAACUACGUGCCAGCAGCCGCGGUAAUACGUAGGGCGCAAGCGUUAUCCGGAAUUAUUGGGCGUAAAGAGCUCGUAGGCGGUUUGUCGCGUCUGCCGUGAAAGUCCGGGGCUUAACUCCGGAUCUGCGGUGGGUACGGGCAGACUAGAGUGCAGUAGGGGAGACUGGAAUUCCUGGUGUAGCGGUGAAAUGCGCAGAUAUCAGGAGGAACACCGAUGGCGAAGGCAGGUCUCUGGGCUGUAACUGACGCUGAGGAGCGAAAGCAUGGGGAGCGAACAGGAUUAGAUACCCUGGUAGUCCAUGCCGUAAACGUUGGGCACUAGGUGUGGGGGACAUUCCACGUUUUCCGCGCCGUAGCUAACGCAUUAAGUGCCCCGCCUGGGGAGUACGGCCGCAAGGCUAAAACUCAAAGGAAUUGACGGGGGCCCGCACAAGCGGCGGAGCAUGCGGAUUAAUUCGAUGCAACGCGAAGAACCUUACCAAGGCUUGACAUGAACCGGAAUGAUGCAGAGAUGUGUCAGCCACUUGUGGCCGGUUUACAGGUGGUGCAUGGUUGUCG
Molecule: ribosomal RNA, 612 nt
Filed under: Arthrobacter-like sp. V4.BO.40
Lineage: Bacteria; Bacillati; Actinomycetota; Actinomycetes; Micrococcales; Micrococcaceae
Description: bacterial SSU rRNA
Rfam family: Bacterial small subunit ribosomal RNA
Source: RNAcentral